RNAcentral lists this unclassified non-coding RNA (460 nucleotides) under Fimbristylis pauciflora. RNAcentral describes it as "partial miscellaneous RNA". The record is from RNAcentral. Lineage: Eukaryota; Viridiplantae; Streptophyta; Magnoliopsida; Poales; Cyperaceae.
CAAAAAUAGAGGUCUCUAAAAUCUAAAAAACAAGUAUAGUGGAUUAACUUAAUUCUAAGUUAAUCCACUUCAUAUUUGAAAUACUUCGAAAUAACACGAAGUAAAUUUUACUAAAACAAAAAAAUGUAUUAUUAAUUGAAAUACGACGAAUUUUUCGCAAUGACUGUUUCUAAUCACUUUUUGAAACAAAAUAAAGUCCUCUAUAAGGGUUCUUGAAGUCAAGAAAGAGAUCAAUAAAGUCUUUACAUGUCGAACAAUUAGGAAAAUUGUUCCUAUUAGUUUUCGAGGUUAAAAUAGAAACUUUCUAGGUAUCUAGACCUAUUGUAUCUGUUUCAAUGUUAUUUCUUGGAACAGAUAACAUUGAUAAAAAAUCKUUUUAAGUAUAGAAACGAUUAUGAUGAUCGAGCCUGGACAUAUCAUCAAUUUUUAUUGUAUAUUAUUAAUAUAUCAUAUCGUACCU